RNAcentral lists this ribosomal RNA (450 nucleotides) under uncultured bacterium. RNAcentral describes it as "bacterial SSU rRNA". It matches the Rfam family "Bacterial small subunit ribosomal RNA", at positions 354 to 796 of the family's 1533-position model. The record is from RNAcentral.
GUGGGGAAUAUUGGACAAUGGGCGAAAGCCUGAUCCAGCCAUGCCGCGUAUGUGAAGAAGGUCUUCGGAUUGUAAAGCACUUUAAGUUGGGAGGAAGGGCAGUAAGUUAAUACCUUGCUGUUUUGACGUUACCAACAGAAUAAGCACCGGCUAACUUCGUGCCAGCAGCCGCGGUAAUACGAAGGGUGCAAGCGUUAAUCGGAAUUACUGGGCGUAAAGCGCGCGUAGGUGGUUCAGCAAGUUGGAGGUGAAAUCCCCGGGCUCAACCUGGGAACUGCCUCCAAAACUACUGAGCUAGAGUACGGUAGAGGGUAGUGGAAUUUCCUGUGUAGCGGUGAAAUGCGUAGAUAUAGGAAGGAACACCAGUGGCGAAGGCGACUACCUGGACUGAUACUGACACUGAGGUGCGAAAGCGUGGGGAGCAAACAGGAUUAGAAACCCGGGUAGUCC